Molecule: long non-coding RNA, 1499 nt
Filed under: Homo sapiens (human)
Lineage: Eukaryota; Metazoa; Chordata; Mammalia; Primates; Hominidae
Description: HSALNT0012756
Source: RNAcentral
CAGGGAACCAUGAAUCCCGCCUGGGAUCCAGGUCUGUGUGCUCCUCCCUGGUCUGCAGGCAAAACCAGCAACCCACCUGCUGCAUCAAGCUGGUCCCAGCCUCUGGCUCCCAUCUCCACCUCACGAGGAAUUCUUGACUAGUAGAAGAGACCGACACAUGGACAACUAGCCACUAGUGCACAUGAUGCUGAGUGCAGUCAUGGAGAGAUGAAGAAACUGCUAGAGGAACAUAGAGGCAGGACCCAAGGAGUCUUCACAGAAGAUGUGACACUUGAUCUGGUUAUCAAAGGAUGAGUAAGAAUUCUCCAAGGAGACAAGAGGCAUGAGAAUCUUCUAGCAGAGAGAACAGCUGCAGCCAAUGCAAAAUCAUAUAAACAAGUAUGAGUGAUUUGGUUUGACAGGAAUGUGGAAUACACAGGGCCUGGUGUGGUAGGUGAUGACCAAGCAUCAUGAACAAACAUUUACUGGGCACUGGGCAUGGGGCAGAAGGACCACUAUGCUCUGUCCCUAGGGACAAAAAAAAGUCCCUAAUCACAGCCCUUCCAGAGGGUAGUCAUGUUGGAAAGAGUACUCAGUGUUUUACUGGAUUCCUAAAAGGAUCAUUGGGUUAUUUUAGCAAAGUUCCCAUUUCCUUCAUGAAGCUAUUCUAAAAUCAGAGAGAUUUUACUAGCAUUUGAGCAAAGAAAGAUCCUGGACUCUCCUUCCCCAACCCUUGAACUGAGGCUGUGCUAGUACUGCACAUGUUUACCCUCAGAUACAUUCUUCACCCUUUCUUUGCUCUAUUCUGUGUUAUGGUGAGGACAGGGGAAACUGGGCCAUGCAAGUUGCAUCUCCCAGAUUUCUGGCUGGAUUCAGCCAGUGGGAGGUACUUUCAGAGGACUAGAGGUGAGGAGGAAUGGAGAAGUCAGGAUAUUUCUCCCUCUCCCUCUUUGUUUCAACUACUGCCUCUUCAGCAGCUGUGACUCCUCCAUGUCCCACUAGACACAUCUACCCUGGUUCAAGUUCACACUGAACACUUCCGCCAUGGUCCCAGUUUCCACCUAAUGACCUCAACCUCUGGGCUCUGGUAACAUCUCACCCUCCCUUUGUCUCCCCAACCUAAGGUGGUAGUGUCUUCCAAGGGUUGCUGAUUUCUGCAUUCCCAUACAGUUUCCUGUUUGGCUUCCCAACUCUUCUAUUACUAGUUUCUUGUAUUAAAUUCUCACUGUUAUAAAUACUUAAAGUGAUCUCUGUCUUCUGAUUUGUACCCUGACUAACAUAGAGACUGCAUUUUAGUGGUCUUUGAGUCUCCCACAGCACCUAAUACAGUGAUUUUAUGUGCUAAUUUGUUAGAUGAAUGGAUGGGCAGAUGGGUGGAUGGAUGGAUGGAUGGAUAAACAGAUGGUUAAUUAAAUAGAUGAGCAGUGGUAUGAUUGGAUGGAUGAGAGUUGAAUGGAUGUUCAUAAUUUAAUGAGGAUGUUUUAAUUUCAUAAGUAUAAAGGAGUAAAUUCUAAAAGAAC